GACGAACGCUGGCGGCGUGCCUAAUACAUGCAAGUUGAGCGCUGAAGGUUGGUACUUGUACCAACUGGAUGAGCAGCGAACGGGUGAGUAACGCGUGGGGAAUCUGCCUUUGAGCGGGGGACAACAUUUGGAAACGAAUGCUAAUACCGCAUAAAAACUUUAAACACAAGUUUUAAGUUUGAAAGAUGCAAUUGCAUCACUCAAAGAUGAUCCCGCGUUGUAUUAGCUAGUUGGUGAGGUAAAGGCUCACCAAGGCGAUGAUACAUAGCCGACCUGGGAGGGUGAUCGGCCCCAUUGGGACUGAGACACGGCCCAAACCCCUAAGGGAGGCAGCAGUAGGGAAACUUCGGCAAUGGACGACAGUCUGACCGAGCCACGCCGCGUGAGUGAAGAAGGGUUUCGGAUCGUAAAACUCUGUUGGUAGAGAAGAACGUUGGUGAGAGUGGAAAGCUCAUCAAGUGACGGUAACUACCCAGAAAGGGACGGCUAACUACGUG
Molecule: ribosomal RNA, 497 nt
Filed under: uncultured bacterium
Lineage: Bacteria
Description: partial 16S ribosomal RNA
Rfam family: Bacterial small subunit ribosomal RNA
Source: RNAcentral